Molecule: transfer RNA, 72 nt
Filed under: Angiostrongylus costaricensis
Lineage: Eukaryota; Metazoa; Nematoda; Chromadorea; Rhabditida; Metastrongylidae
Rfam family: tRNA
About the family: Transfer RNA (tRNA) molecules are approximately 80 nucleotides in length. Their secondary structure includes four short double-helical elements and three loops (D, anti-codon, and T loops).
Source: Rfam by way of RNAcentral
GGGUGUAUAGCUCAGUUGUAGAGCAUUCGACUGCAGAUCGAGAGGUCCGUUGUUUAACUCCGCGCGCCCCCU